RNAcentral lists this ribosomal RNA (253 nucleotides) under uncultured bacterium. RNAcentral's name for it is "partial 16S ribosomal RNA". It matches the Rfam family "Bacterial small subunit ribosomal RNA", at positions 524 to 776 of the family's 1533-position model. The record is from RNAcentral.
GACGGAGGAUGCAAGUGUUAUCCGGAAUCACUGGGCGUAGAGCGUCUGUAGGUGGUUCAAUAAGUCAACUGUUAAAUCUUGAGGCUCAACUUCAAAAUCGCAGUCGAAACUAUUGGACUCGAGUAUAGUAGGGGUAAAGGGAAUUUCCGGUGGAGCGGUGAAAUGCGUAGAGAUCGGAAAGAACACCAACGGCGAAAGCACUCUGCUGGGCCGACACUGACACUGAGAGACGAAAGCUAGGGGAGCGAAUGGG